This 253-nucleotide ribosomal RNA is filed under the name uncultured bacterium. RNAcentral describes it as "partial 16S ribosomal RNA". It matches the Rfam family "Bacterial small subunit ribosomal RNA", at positions 524 to 776 of the family's 1533-position model. The record is from RNAcentral.
UACGGAGGAUCCAAGCGUUAUCCGGAUUUAUUGGGUUUAAAGGGUGCGUAGGCGGAUUGAUAAGUUAGAGGUGAAAUGUCCGAGCUCAACUCGGGAACUGCCUCUAAUACUGUUGAUCUAGAGAGUAGUUGCGGUAGGCGGAAUGUAUGGUGUAGCGGUGAAAUGCUUAGAGAUCAUACAGAACACCGAUUGCGAAGGCAGCUUACCAAUCUAUAUCUGACGUUGAGGCACGAAAGCGUGGGGAGCAAACAGG